Molecule: long non-coding RNA, 1607 nt
Filed under: Mytilus galloprovincialis (Mediterranean mussel)
Lineage: Eukaryota; Metazoa; Mollusca; Bivalvia; Mytilida; Mytilidae
Source: RNAcentral
AAAGCUUUAAAGAGUCCGCUAAAAUGAAAUAUUCCUUUUAAACUUUGAAAACGCUAACUUUACUAUUUUCCUUUACAAUUUAACCUUUAAAUAAAUGAAGUUUCUAAGAAAAAUUAACCAUUUUGACUAAAAUAAAAUAACGAGCAAAUAAAAAUACCAACUGUAAGAACCAAAAGUUUAAGCAGAACUGACGACCAAGCGUCGAAAUUACGUCAAUGUUGGAUUGUUGGAUUGUUGGAUGGUUGGAUGGUUGGAUGGUUGGAUUGUUGGAUCGCGCGCUUGCCGUCCAACCAAAUAUUUGAAUUCUUAAAUAAAUUACAAAAAUCACAAUAAUAUACAAUUUUAGUAACCUUUAUAUAAUAAACAAAGUUUGCAUGGUACUAAACAAAAUUUCUAUAGUAACUAAAAAUACAACAAUAUAUACAGCGCCACCGGAAGUCACAAUACGUAAACAACAUUGCGAAAAGUUAUGUGUGUCACCGGCGGACCAAAAUGAUAAAUAUCAAGGAUAGUGAGCAUUAACAUCUACAAAACAUUGAAGACGUUGACUACAAAUACUAAAAGGAAUUACAAGAAGUAUGUGAAAACAGUUGCCAACACGUAAAAAUAGUGUUUUUAUUGAACAAUCGUCCCAAGUGACACAUGGAUUCUACUGCGCAUGUCAAUACAUUUCAUUCAUAAAAUUCAAGCACAGGUGCGUGGAAUUUACUACGAUUUACUACGAUUUCUACAAUUGGAUUAUCACAAAAAAUACAAGACAUACAGUUGGAUUAUUCAGUGGAUUAUUACUAUGAACUGGUAAAUUAUUACAUGAACUUCAACUGGUUUAUCAAAUAUAUGCAAAUGACAGUAAUUCAAUAUUUUCUACAAGAAUCAUAAUAUUGUAAUUGUUCUUAACUUUACUUUAUUAAAUGUUAAUUAAAACUUAUUUGCUUCAAUUAUCAUAUGUUCCAGACUACAAGCAUUACAAGUAGUAUAAUACAAGUUAUUUCACACAGUUACUGUUUCCUACAUAAUAACUUUCAUAAAAAAUACAGAAUAUUAAACAGUAUGCUUUAUUAAUACCAAUUUAAAACAUACAUCAAAAAUAUCUUACAUGUCUAUAACACGUCACAAUAAAAUACAUGAAAAUACAUGUACCCUAGUCGUCGUACUCUACAUUUUACCCCCUUUCCAUUAUUUGCGUCCCCGCAAAUACUUUAAACUUUUGCAAAAGUUUCCAUUUCAAAUUUUUCUAUGUCUUGAAUACAUAUUCUUCUUAAAAAGAAAUUAUUUCUAAAACUGAAUGAAAUUAGCUUUCUUAUUAAUACAAUCUAUGAUUAUAACACAAAUACAUCAUAAUAUAAUACCAAAUAUGUAAAAAUUAUACAUAAUUAUAUGUUUAUUCUUUUUAUAUAUUUUACAGAUACACCAGAAGAUUCAACAUUGUGACCAUCAGCAUGAGGGCGGUAGAUACCAGAUAAACAUACAUAUAUACCAAAUGUGGAAAAUUACUGAACGUUAUGAACAAACUGGAACAUGGCUAAGAACCAGAGGUUUCUGAAGGAAAAUUUUAGUUACCAUGCAAACAGUACCAAAAUAUUUAAAUAUAAGUUCAAAAAAUACAC